Molecule: ribosomal RNA, 662 nt
Filed under: Escherichia coli
Lineage: Bacteria; Pseudomonadati; Pseudomonadota; Gammaproteobacteria; Enterobacterales; Enterobacteriaceae
Description: partial 23S ribosomal RNA
Rfam family: Bacterial large subunit ribosomal RNA
Source: RNAcentral
CGGGACACGUGGUAUCCUGUCUGAAUAUGGGGGGACCAUCCUCCAAGGCUAAAUACUCCUGACUGACCGAUAGUGAACCAGUACCGUGAGGGAAAGGCGAAAAGAACCCCGGCGAGGGGAGUGAAAAAGAACCUGAAACCGUGUACGUACAAGCAGUGGGAGCCUCUUAAUGGGGUGACUGCGUACCUUUUGUAUAAUGGGUCAGCGACUUAUAUUCUGUAGCAAGGUUAACCGAAUAGGGGAGCCGAAGGGAAACCGAGUCUUAACUGGGCGUUAAGUUGCAGGGUAUAGACCCGAAACCCGGUGAUCUAGCCAUGGGCAGGUUGAAGGUUGGGUAACACUAACUGGAGGACCGAACCGACUAAUGUUGAAAAAUUAGCGGAUGACUUGUGGCUGGGGGUGAAAGGCCAAUCAAACCGGGAGAUAGCUGGUUCUCCCCGAAAGCUAUUUAGGUAGCGCCUCGUGAAUUCAUCUCCGGGGGUAGAGCACUGUUUCGGCAAGGGGGUCAUCCCGACUUACCAACCCGAUGCAAACUGCGAAUACCGGAGAAUGUUAUCACGGGAGACACACGGCGGGUGCUAACGUCCGUCGUGAAGAGGGAAACAACCCAGACCGCCAGCUAAGGUCCCAAAGUCAUGGUUAAGUGGGAAACGAUGUGGGAA